This 109-nucleotide ribosomal RNA is filed under the name Jaculus jaculus (lesser Egyptian jerboa). The record is from RNAcentral. Lineage: Eukaryota; Metazoa; Chordata; Mammalia; Rodentia; Dipodidae.
AUCUAUGGCCAUACCACCCCAAACACACCCUAUUUCUUCUGGUCUCAGAAGCCAAGCAGGGUCAGGCCUGGUUAGUACAUGGAUGGGAGAAAGACUAAUAUUGCAUAUU